GACGAACCGUGCGAACGUUAUUCGGAAUCACUGGGCUUAAAGGGCGCGUAGGCGGGCCAGCAAGUCAGGGGUGAAAGCCCACGGCUCAACCGUGGAAGGGCCUUUGAUACUGCUGGUCUGGAGGGAGGUAGGGGCGUGCGGAACUUCCGGUGGAGCGGUGAAAUGCGUAGAUAUCGGAAGGAACACCGGUGGCGAAAGCGGCGCGCUGGACCUCUUCUGACGCUGAGGCGCGAAAGCCAGGGUAGCAAACGGG
Molecule: ribosomal RNA, 253 nt
Filed under: uncultured bacterium
Lineage: Bacteria
Description: partial 16S ribosomal RNA
Rfam family: Bacterial small subunit ribosomal RNA
Source: RNAcentral